This 354-nucleotide ribosomal RNA is filed under the name uncultured bacterium. RNAcentral describes it as "partial 16S ribosomal RNA". It matches the Rfam family "Bacterial small subunit ribosomal RNA", at positions 338 to 689 of the family's 1533-position model. The record is from RNAcentral.
CCUACGGGAGGCAGCAGUGAGGAAUAUUGGUCAAUGGGCGCGAGCCUGAACCAGCCAAGUAGCGUGAAGGAUGACUGCCCUACGGGUUGUAAACUUCUUUUAUAAAGGAAUAAAGUGAGGCACGUGUGCCUUUUUGUAUGUACGUUAUGAAUAAGGAUCGGCUAACUCCGUGCCGGCAGCCGCGGUAAUACGGAGGCUCCGAGCGUUCUCCGGAUUUAUUGGGUUUAAAGGGAGCGUAGAUGGGUUGUUAAGUCAGUUGUGAAAGUUUGCGGCUCAACCGUAAAAUUGCAAUUGUUACGGGCAGCCUUGCGUACAGUUGCGGUAGGCUGACUUCGUGGUGUAGCGGUGAACUGC